CCCCUCUCAGAAUCACACCUGGAGAAUUUCCAGUACUCUAUCAGCCCCGGCUAUGGGAGGGAGAAUCAAGCAGAGGCCUAUCCAUUCCAUUCCUAGCUUGGGGAGUGGCUAGCGAGUGGAAGGGAAUCUGCUACAAGU
Molecule: small nucleolar RNA, 138 nt
Filed under: Ornithorhynchus anatinus (platypus)
Lineage: Eukaryota; Metazoa; Chordata; Mammalia; Monotremata; Ornithorhynchidae
Source: RNAcentral